GUGCUCGCUUCAGCAGCACAUAUACUAAAAUUGGAUCGUACAGAGAAGAUUAUCAUGGCCCCUGCUCAAGGAUGACACACAUUUAUUUUUUU
Erinaceus europaeus (western European hedgehog) is the source of this 92-nucleotide small nuclear RNA. The record is from Ensembl. Lineage: Eukaryota; Metazoa; Chordata; Mammalia; Eulipotyphla; Erinaceidae.